RNAcentral lists this ribosomal RNA (369 nucleotides) under uncultured Parabacteroides sp. RNAcentral's name for it is "bacterial SSU rRNA". It matches the Rfam family "Bacterial small subunit ribosomal RNA", at positions 355 to 721 of the family's 1533-position model. Lineage: Bacteria; Pseudomonadati; Bacteroidota; Bacteroidia; Bacteroidales; Tannerellaceae. The record is from RNAcentral.
GGAGGAAUAUUGGUCAAUGGACGAAAGUCUGAACCAGCCAUGCCGCGUGAAGGAAUAAGGCCCUAUGGGUCGUAAACUUCUUUUGUAUGUGAGCAAUAAGGUCCACGAGUGGUCCGAUGAGAGUAGCAUACGAAUAAGCAUCGGCUAACUCCGUGCCAGCAGCCGCGGUAAUACGGGGGAUGCGAGCGUUAUCCGGAUUCAUUGGGUUUAAAGGGUGCGUAGGCGGCUUUGCAAGUCAGCGGUGAAAGGCCCGGGCUCAACCCGGAAAGUGCCGUUGAUACUGUGAGGCUGGAAUGCGGAUGCUGUGGGAGGAAUGAGUGGUGUAGCGGUGAAAUGCAUAGAUAUCACUCAGAACACCGAUUGCGAAGG